Molecule: small RNA, 895 nt
Filed under: Pan troglodytes (chimpanzee)
Lineage: Eukaryota; Metazoa; Chordata; Mammalia; Primates; Hominidae
Description: processed transcript
Source: RNAcentral
AAGUCAUCUUAAUAAUGUAUUCCAAAAAUGGUUUUGUUUUCUCACCUCUAGUUCUUGAGUACACUAAUGGGAUCUUUAUCUUCAGAAAAGCUGCUAAUAUAAAACACAAUGCCUUAUCACUAACAAAUCAAAUUAGAUAUAAUCUAAGCAGGUGUAUUUGAGCAGGAAAAAAAACACAUUAGAGCCACCUGAAUCUAGAUAUGAUCUAUGAUUUUGAGAGCAUUCAGUUUUGCUCUCAAGAUCAGUGACAUAAUCUUUACUAUAUAUUGUUAUUUUUAAGGCAUGUGCAGUUUUGUAACAGCAAUACAAUGCAGGUAUGUACACUUCAUUGUAAAUAACCAUUCUGGUGAAAAAAGGCUUUCAAUGACUUUGGACAAGUAAAUGAUUCUUGGUACAAAAUCAUACUUCUUUGGUAUUUAUGAAAAAAAAGGAAGGUGUUUUAACUCUGAGCACCCAAUUCCUGGUGCUCCAUUUAAGUAUUUAAGAUGUUUCUAAUUAGGGUUGAGUCUUGUUGUGAACAGCUAGUGAAAUACUAACAUGGGAGGGCAAGUUUUAUGAGCAUUAAUAAAUUGAACACAAAUUAUCUGUUACAGAGUCUACAAAGAGCUAUAGAUAAAAAGUACAGCAAAAUGAUUUCACGAAAUCAAUAUUUUAUUCAGUGUCAAAGCAUCUUAACUGAAUUGUAUGCUUAUGCUGUCAAGUUACCAGAAAGAAAAUGAGAAGUUACAUUGCUUGUCAUGAGUUGGAUGGUGAUAGUCACAACUGUAAAAACAGUGCAGAUAAUGAUGGUUGCAGGGCCCCUCUUCAAUGGAGGCAUUGCCAGCCUUCUGGCCAUGAAGGAGAAAGUGAUUUCAACUAACCCAGGAAACUCUUACCUCUAAAUGGAGAUACUUCC